Molecule: long non-coding RNA, 694 nt
Filed under: Bos taurus (domestic cattle)
Lineage: Eukaryota; Metazoa; Chordata; Mammalia; Artiodactyla; Bovidae
Description: long non-coding RNA NONBTAT023141
Source: RNAcentral
UUAAUAUUUCAAAUUAAUCAUUCAAGAUAUUUUAAUAAUAAUGUUAUUGAUAAUCACCAUAAAAAUAAAACAUAACAAUUUUAAUUUUGAAAUAAUUCAAAUAACUUAUCAACAAAAAUUAGUAGAAGCAUUAAGUCAUUAGUCAUGUAAUGAUUUCUUUUAAAAUGGAAAUUAAUUUUAUUAAUCUACUGAAUAUUAGAUAUUACAAAUUACAAAUGUUAAGUUCUAAAUAAAAACUAUUAUUAUACUCUGUAAGAAUAAACAUUAAUAAACGUUAAGCUAAAAUGAAGACCAAUACUCUGAAAAGUAAUGAAAUCAAUUAGCACAAAUUAAAAAAUCAAAAAGUAACAUCAUAAUCCAUUUUUCCCACUUUAACUUACUGAAUGAACCCUUUAUAAAUUAAAGAAAUAGCCAAUUUGUUAAUAUAUUUUGCCUGAAAGAUACUGUUUCUACUCAUUUUUAUUUUUACUUUAUUCACUAAACAUUUUUCUUUUAUAAAAGACUACCCAUCAUGGGUGAAAGUAUCUGUCAUUGUCUGCCCCAUAGAAUUUGAAUUUGCAAAAAUUCUAAGAGUUACUAAACAAUACUAUUAAUUGUAUGUUAAAGUACUGGUUUCAUUUCAAUUGCAGAUAAUCCAGAGAUGUGAAAAGGCAAGCUUACAUUUUAGAUUCAAAAUCAUGGUUUUUCAUGUAUA